AUACGGAGGGGGCUAGCGUUGUUCGGAAUUACUGGGCGUAAAGCGCGCGUAGGCGGUUUGCCAAGUCAGGCGUGAAAGCCCCGGGCUCAACCCGGGAACUGCGUUUGAAACUGGCAGGCUUGAGGCCGGGAGAGGGUAGUGGAAUUCCCAGUGUAGAGGUGAAAUUCGUAGAUAUUGGGAAGAACACCAGUGGCGAAGGCGGCCACCUGGACCAAGACUGACGCUGAGGGACGAAAGCGUGGGGAGCAAACAGGAUUAGAAACCCUAGUAGUCC
RNAcentral lists this ribosomal RNA (274 nucleotides) under uncultured bacterium. Its description in RNAcentral is "partial 16S ribosomal RNA". It matches the Rfam family "Bacterial small subunit ribosomal RNA", at positions 523 to 796 of the family's 1533-position model. The record is from RNAcentral.